Molecule: microRNA, 22 nt
Filed under: Murid gammaherpesvirus 4 (Murine herpesvirus 68)
Lineage: Duplodnaviria; Heunggongvirae; Peploviricota; Herviviricetes; Herpesvirales; Orthoherpesviridae
Description: mghv-miR-M1-8-3p
Gene: mghv-miR-M1-8-3p
Source: miRBase by way of RNAcentral
UGACCAACCCUAAGUGAGUUUU